RNAcentral lists this ribosomal RNA (454 nucleotides) under Abiotrophia defectiva. RNAcentral describes it as "bacterial SSU rRNA". It matches the Rfam family "Bacterial small subunit ribosomal RNA", at positions 28 to 464 of the family's 1533-position model. The record is from RNAcentral. Lineage: Bacteria; Bacillati; Bacillota; Bacilli; Lactobacillales; Aerococcaceae.
GACGAACGCUGGCGGCGUGCCUAAUACAUGCAAGUCGAACGAACCGCGACUGAGUGCUUGCACUAAGUCAAGGUGAGUGGCGAACGGGUGAGUAACACGUGGGUAACCUACCUCAUAGUGGGGGAUAACAGUCGGAAACGACUGCUAAUACCGCAUAGGACAUGGGAUCACAUGAUUCUGUGAGGAAAGGUGGCGCAAGCUAUCGCUAAGAGAUGGACCCGCGGUGCAUUAGCUAGUUGGUAGGGUAACGGCCUACCAAGGCGAUGAUGCAUAGCCGACCUGAGAGGGUGAUCGGCCACAUUGGGACUGAGACACGGCCCAAACUCCUACGGGAGGCAGCAGUAGGGAAUCUUCCGCAAUGGACGCAAGUCUGACGGAGCAACGCCGCGUGAGUGAAGAAGGUCUUCGGAUCGUAAAGCUCUGUUGUUAGAGAAGAACAAGCGCAUAGAAGUAA